Long non-coding RNA from Etheostoma spectabile (orangethroat darter), 1502 nucleotides. RefSeq lists it as uncharacterized. NCBI's taxonomy places the organism in Eukaryota, Metazoa, Chordata, Actinopteri, Perciformes, Percidae. The transcript has 3 exons. The record is from RefSeq and is a predicted model, not a curated record.
CCAUCACACUUUUUGGUUUUGUAACCACUUUUCUUUUUUGUUAGAGGUCAGUUACACCUCCAGUCAGACGACUGUUGUUCCUGGCUGCGACAUUUUCUAUGUUGAGGCUCCACCUGCUAUCCCUGCCCCUUCGGUGAUUCUGGAUGUGGAAAAGCUUCCACCUUGUCCAUGCAAGACACAGUGUCCAGAGUGUCGGCAGUUCAUCACAACAGAGACUUUUACCUCUGUCAGCAGCGUCACCUGGCUGGUGUGUUUUAUGACAGCUUUGAUUGGCUGCGUGGCUGGUUGUUGCUUCAUUCCCUUUUGUGUCAAUAAGUUCAAAUCUACCACACACCGAUGUCCUAAGUGCCGAACGUGUAUCAGAACUAUUAAAACGCUCUGAGAGAAAAGAAGCUGGUGAGAACUUGAAGCUCAAACUGAAAGAUUUUGACCUAAUGGUAAAGUAUAUCAGCAGCAUGACUCCCUUGCAGAGUUUAUCUGUUUGUGUUCACUAUCAUCCUACACCAACUUUGGUUUUAAUGGAGCCCAUGUCAGAAGGAAAGGAUAUGGUGUUUACUAAUAUAUUCUGCCUGUAUGUAGAUGUUUAUUAUUUAACAAAUAUUUAUCUAUAUAUUUAAAUUGAUAUUUCACUGAAAUAGAAAAUCUGAUCUACUGUAUAUUACGAUUCAAAUUUAUUGUUGUUCUUCAAAUGUCUAAAUUGAUUAAAAUUACCUAAACAUUCAGUUUUCUAUUAAGGCUUACAAAUGCGGUGAGCUGUUUUUUCAACUAAAAUAUACAAUUAAAGCCCUUCAUAUGUAUUUGUUAAAUUACAACCACUAAAGGUUUAAUGGCAAACUGGGGAUGGGCAUACAUUAGGUGAAAUCCUAAAUAAUCUCUAUGUUUUCAAAACUACUGCUAUAUUGUUAUCAAAGGUAACAUAAAUACCAUGUGUAAAACAAGGCAUUUAAAGUCAAGUCAAUUUAAUUUAUAUAGCCCAAUAUCACAAAUCACAAAUUUGCCUCAGGGGAUUCAUAAUCUGUACAGCAUGGCACCCUCUAUCCUUAGACCCUUGAUUUGAAUAAGGUAAAACGUCCCAAAAAUAACAACAAAAAAAAGAAAGAAACAGCAGGGAGAGAGAGACAAGGACAAUAUGCAUACAGGGCAUAUAGCGAGAGGCAAUAGGAGAAUCUGAAUCUCCUGGAGGAGGAAGAUCCAUAUCCACAACAUCUGAAGUGAGGCACCGGCAGCCAGGGGAGGGAGAGAGGUCCCAGGACAGCCCAUGGUCCAAAACAGAGAAGCCUGAGUGAAAAGAGAGGACAAGGAGGAGAAGCUAGGAAGAAAAAGAAAGAGAGAGUGAGUGAGAAAGCGGCGUACAGCUUGGAUAUGCAUGUGCUUGUGGGACAACAGACAAACAGGGUUAGAGAGAUGCAGUAGUUUUCAGAAUGUUUAGCGUAUCCUCUUUGGCAGGACAAAUGAACUAUAGCACUACUACGCUUAAUAGAUUGUGUCUGUUGAUGUUGAGU